RNAcentral lists this unclassified non-coding RNA (364 nucleotides) under uncultured fungus. Its description in RNAcentral is "partial contains 5.8S ribosomal RNA and internal transcribed spacer 2". The stretch from base 1 to 133 matches the Rfam family "5.8S ribosomal RNA", at positions 22 to 154 of the family's 154-position model. Lineage: Eukaryota; Fungi. The record is from RNAcentral.
UGGUUCUGGCAUCGAUGAAGAACGCAGCGAAAUGCGAUAAGUAAUGUGAAUUGCAGAAUUCAGUGAAUCAUCGAAUCUUUGAACGCACAUUGCGCCCAUUAGUAUUCUAGUGGGCAUGCCUGUUCGAGCGUCAUUUCAACCCUUAAGCACCGCUUAGUGUUGGGAGACUACUCUGGCGGACCUACCCUGUGGCUACCCCGUAGCCACCCCGUAGCGACCCCGUAGCUCCCUAAAGUCAUCGGCGGAGUCGUGGUAUCCUCUGAGCGUAGUAGCUAUAAUCUCGCUUUUGCAGGUGCCGCGGCCCCCGCCGUAAAACCCCAAACUUUCAAUGGUUGACCUCGGAUCAGGUAGGAAUACCCGCUGA